Mus musculus (house mouse) is the source of this 3833-nucleotide RNA transcript. It is a transcript of the gene named CD244 molecule A, with no coding region annotated. The record is from RefSeq and is marked validated. The transcript is spliced from 10 exons. NCBI's taxonomy places the organism in Eukaryota, Metazoa, Chordata, Mammalia, Rodentia, Muridae.
AGUUGAGGAAAUUGUGGCUGGACAGGCAGUGAGGUAGUUCUGCUGUGUCCUGCUGACAGUUAGCUGCGAGCCUAUUGACAUCUGAGCACCUGGAGAAGACAGGGCCCCCGUAGUCUGCUCUGUCCUGUGGUGAUGUUGGGGCAAGCUGUCCUGUUCACAACCUUUCUGCUCCUCAGGGCUCAUCAGGGCCAAGAAUUCGUGUCCAUUCUGAAGAAAAGGAUGGUCUGGGAGUUGUGAGGAGUCCCUGGAUGCUUUGGGUCUGGGUGAGACUGCCCAGAUUCUUCUGAAGAAGUGGUUGGUGUCUCAGGAAAGCCUGUCCAGCUGAGGCCUUCCAACAUACAGACAAAAGAUGUUUCUGUUCAAUGGAAGAAGACAGAACAGGGCUCACACAGAAAAAUUGAGAUCCUGAAUUGGUAUAAUGAUGGUCCCAGUUGGUCAAAUGUAUCUUUUAGUGAUAUCUAUGGUUUUGAUUAUGGGGAUUUUGCUCUUAGUAUCAAGUCAGCUAAGCUGCAAGACAGUGGUCACUACCUGCUGGAGAUCACCAACACAGGCGGAAAAGUGUGCAAUAAGAACUUCCAGCUUCUUAUACUUGAUCAUGUUGAGACCCCUAACCUGAAGGCCCAGUGGAAGCCCUGGACUAAUGGGACUUGUCAACUGUUUUUGUCCUGCUUGGUGACCAAGGAUGACAAUGUGAGCUACGCUUUGUACAGAGGGAGCACUCUGAUCUCCAAUCAAAGGAAUAGUACCCACUGGGAGAACCAGAUUGACGCCAGCAGCCUGCACACAUACACCUGCAACGUUAGCAACAGAGCCAGCUGGGCAAACCACACCCUGAACUUCACCCAUGGCUGUCAAAGUGUCCCUUCGAAUUUCAGAUUUCUGCCCUUUGGGGUGAUCAUCGUGAUUCUAGUUACAUUAUUUCUCGGGGCCAUCAUUUGUUUCUGUGUGUGGACUAAGAAGAGGAAGCAGUUACAGUUCAGCCCUAAGGAACCUUUGACAAUAUAUGAAUAUGUCAAGGACUCACGAGCCAGCAGGGAUCAACAAGGAUGCUCUAGGGCCUCUGGAUCUCCCUCGGCUGUCCAGGAAGAUGGGAGGGGACAAAGAGAAUUGGACAGGCGUGUUUCUGAGGUGCUGGAGCAGUUGCCACAGCAGACUUUCCCUGGAGAUAGAGGCACCAUGUACUCUAUGAUACAGUGCAAGCCUUCUGAUUCCACAUCACAAGAAAAAUGUACAGUAUAUUCAGUAGUCCAGCCUUCCAGGAAGUCUGGAUCCAAGAAGAGGAACCAGAACUCUUCCUUAAGUUGUACCGUGUACGAGGAGGUUGGAAACCCAUGGCUCAAAGCUCACAACCCUGCCAGGCUGAGCCGCAGAGAGCUGGAGAACUUUGAUGUCUACUCCUAGUUGUUAGCAGUGGCCUCAUCCUGUGUCAUGCAGCAUCAUUGACUUUGGAAGGAAGCACACUGAAGGAUGCUUAAGUCCGUAUGUGUCCGUAGACCAGCUUCUAGGCUGGAGAGAAUGUAGUUUAUUAACAUUGAAGGAUGCUGAGUCUGUAUGUGUCUGUGGACCAGCUUUUAGGCUGAAGAGAAUGUAGUUUAUUAACAUUGAAGGAUGCUGAGUCUGUAUGUGUCUGUGGACCAGCUUCUAGGCUGAAGAGAAUGUAGUUUAUUAACAUUGAAGAAUGCUGAGUCUGUAUAUGUCUGUGGACCAGCUUCUAGGCUGGAGAUGAUGUAGUUUAUUCGUGGUUUAUAUUUUAUAUUUUAUUAUCUUUCUUUUUAGACAGGAUCUGACAUAGCUUGGCAUGGCCUGAAUUUGCUGAGUAGCCAAGAAUGACUUUAAACCUUUGGUCCUCCUGCCUACACUUCCUAGGGUUUGGAAUCACAGUCAUGUAACACUGUGUAUAGCUUGGAAAAAAUUUCUAACAGCCACUGUAUGAUCAAGGUCAUUAAAAAAUAUCACCCAAGCUUAUAGAUCAGAUAGGAAUGGGUAGAUAGGUUGUAUUGGCCAGAUUUUGAGCCAUUGUAAUCUAUGAUUUAUGUUUUAUUUUAUUUUUAUUAUCAAUUAUAUAAUUUAAAAUAGUAUGGUGCUGUAUAAAUGUGAGGUAGAGGAAGAUCCCCUUCUUCUGGUUCUCUAAUAUGUUAUCUACCACCACCCCACCACCUCCAAGACCAUUAUGGGAUGCCUGUAUUCUAGACCCUGCCCACCUUCCAAAGCAAGUACAGUGAGAGAUGAUGGUGAUUCAGAGGAAAAGGAAGCACAGGUCCUCUUUGAAGCUGUGAUGUCUGGCUGUGAGCUGGCUGGCAGUUCUCCCACAGAGGCAGGAACCCCUGAUCACCCCACAUCGUUGUUUCUGACCGGUUGUUCACAAGGGAAAGUGCAAAGAAGUGAAAUUAGAUGGUGCAGUUCAAACAGAUCUCUGGAUCCAAGAAUCACCCAGUGUGUACAUCAUCCUGAUAAGAGGUGGUUAACACCAGUGUUGCCCACAGUAUGAUGGUUGGCUUACAAAGUCCUAUCACAGAAAUCUAUCUUGUCAUUGACAUCUUUGUCUUCAGCCUUACCUUCUUCAUGACAGUUUUUCACUGUAUAGCUCUGGAUGGUCUGAAACUCACUAUGCAGACCAGACUGGCCUCAAGCCUAGAGUGAUCCACCUGCUUGUGCCUUCCAAAUGCCAGCAUCAGUGCCGUGUACUACCACACCCAGCCGAUUUUGUCUUCUUUGUAGACAUCUCUCAGAAACCAUAGCCUUCCAAAUCUAGAAUCCCGAGCAGUGGUCCCUGUGAUACAUCUGGAGAAAGGGCUCACACCAUAGGUAUCCAAGUUCAGAGUUCUGAGAAGUGUUUCCCAUGAUAUACCCUGAAGGAAGGGCUCAAAUAGUUGAUUGCUGAAGAUGAGGCAGUCAACUACUGCAUACCAUGCUCUCUCUCUUUAGACUAGCUCCUUCAGCAGUGUAGGAUUAGCAAGCCCAAGGCUGGAUGAGCUCUGGAAAGCAACAAGUAUGAACUGAGAGAGGACUCACUCCAAAAGUGUUUUUUUUUUUUGAAGAGAGGGUCUCACUAUCCCACCCUGGCUUUCCUGAUUCUCACUGUGUAAACCACGCUGCCUUCAAACUCACAGAGAUCCUCUUGUCUCUGCUGGAAUGAAAGGCAAACAGCACCAUUCCUGGCUCAGAGUCUCAGUCUUGUUCUUCAAGAGUGUCAUCCUGUGCUUAUCAUGGGAAUGUGACAUGAAACCUUAUUCUCACUCAGAGGCAAUGCCAGUCCUUUGCCUGGAGCAAACUGAUAAGCUUCUCUAUACUCAGUGUGUAUGGGUCACUGAUUAAUAUUCACUAGCAUGGCUGUUUAAAUUCUGCUGGAAGUGGAGCAGACUCUCUGGCCAGAUGUCAGUCUUGUUCACACAGAGAUAGCAGAGAGCCAGAAGACGAGGCCUACUCCGCCUCAUGAAGGGCAUUCAAGCCAUGGGCUCAUUUAUGCUUCACCUAAUCCUUCAUCCCUGUACAUGCCUAGCAGGCUGGCAUCCUCCUAGGUAGAAAUACAGACAGAGCACAUCUUAAAGCACGUGCCAAGUAAUGAGUAUAUUCAAAAAGAGUCUGUGGUCUUGAGGCAGUUACUGGGAGUGGAGUCAAGGUGAUUGGUAAGCAGAGACAAUAAGAGAUGAUGGAGAAGCUGGGUGGUGCUGGCACAUGUCUUCAAUUCCAGCAUCCAGGAGGCAGAGGCAGGUGGACUUCUGUGAGUUGGAGGCCAGCAUAGUCUAUAGAGUGAGUUCCAGGACAGAUAAUGCUGCACAGAGAAACCCUGUCUCAAUCCCUAACCCCAGAAAAAUAAAAGAAAUGAUGGAGAG